UUGCACAAAGGGCGAAAGCCCGACGCAGCCAUGCCGGGGGUAAGAAGAAGGCCUUCGGGUUGUAAAGUACUUUCAGUGGGGGGGAAGGGGGUAUAGUUAAUAGCGGCAUCUCUUGACGUUAGCAACAGAAGAAGCACCGGCUAACUCCGUGCCAGCAGCCGCGGUAAUACGGAGGGUGCGAGCGUUAAUCGGAAUUACUGGGCGUAAAGCGCAUGCAGGUGGUUCAUUAAGUCAGAUGUGAAAGCCCGGGGCUCAACCUCGGAACUGCAUUUGAAACUGGUGAACUAGAGUACUGUAGAGGGGGGUAGAAUUUCAGGUGUAGCGGUGAAAUGCGUAGAGAUCUGAAGGAAUACCAGUGGCGAAGGCGGCCCCCUGGACAGAUACUGACACUCAGAUGCGAAAGCGUGGGGAGCAAACAGGAUUAGAUACCCUGGUAGUCCACGCCGUAAACGAUGUCUACUUGGAGGUUGUGGCCUUGAGCCGUGGCUUUCGGAGCUAACGCGUUAAGUAGACCGCCUGGGGAGUACGGUCGCAAGAUUAAAACUCAAAUGAAUUGACGGGGGCCCGCACAAGCGGUGGAGCAUGUGGUUUAAUUCGAUGCAACGCGAAGAACCUUACCUACUCUUGACAUCCAGAGAAGCCAGCGGAGACGCAGGUGUGCCUUCGGGAGCUCUGAGACAGGUGCUGCAUGGCUGUCGUCAGCUCGUGUUGUGAAAUGUUGGGUUAAGUCCCGCAACGAGCGCAACCCUUAUCCUUGUUUGCCAGCGAGUAAUGUCGGGAACUCCAGGGAGACUGCCGGUGAUAAACCGGAGGAAGGUGGGGACGACGUCAAGUCAUCAUGGCCCUUACGAGUAGGGCUACACACGUGCUACAAUGGCGCAUACAGAGGGCAGCAAGCCAGCGAUGGUGAGCGAAUCCCAAAAAGUGCGUCGUAGUCCGGAUUGGAGUCUGCAACUCGACUCCAUGAAGUCGGAAUCGCUAGUAAUCGUAGAUCAGAAUGCUACGGUGAAUACGUUCCCGGGCCUUGUACACACCGCCCGUCACACCAUGGGAGUGGGCUGCAAAAGAAGUGGGUAGUUUAACCUUUCGGGGAGGACGCUCACCACUUGGUCUUG
RNAcentral lists this ribosomal RNA (1115 nucleotides) under Dicathais orbita. RNAcentral describes it as "bacterial SSU rRNA". It matches the Rfam family "Bacterial small subunit ribosomal RNA", at positions 364 to 1469 of the family's 1533-position model. The record is from RNAcentral. Lineage: Eukaryota; Metazoa; Mollusca; Gastropoda; Neogastropoda; Muricidae.